RNAcentral lists this ribosomal RNA (305 nucleotides) under uncultured bacterium. Its description in RNAcentral is "bacterial SSU rRNA". It matches the Rfam family "Bacterial small subunit ribosomal RNA", at positions 28 to 332 of the family's 1533-position model. The record is from RNAcentral.
GACGAACGCUGGCGGCGUGCUUAACACAUGCAAGUCGAGCGAGGCCCUUCCUUCGGGAAGGUGCCCUAGCGGCGAACGGGUGAGUAACACGUGGGCAACCUGCCCUCAGCUCUGGGAUAACCCCGGGAACGGGGCGUAAUACCGGUAUACGACCACAGUGGGCAUCCGCUUGUGGUGGAAAGAUUUAUCGGCUGAGGAUGGGCCCGCGGCCUAUCAGCUAGUUGGUGAGGUAACGGCCCACCAAGGCAACGACGGGUAGCCGGCCUGAGAGGGCGACCGGCCACACUGGGACUGAGACACGGCCC